CAUCAGCUUCUUGUUCACCUGUUUCACCGCCACCGAACGUUUGGUGCCCCGGUGGUCACAACGCUUGACAACAGAGAAACGACCCCUGGUGAGAAGAGAGAGGAAAGACACUCAGAGGUGACUGUGGCCCGGGGUCGACCACAGACCUUACACCUGAGGGUUACGCUCUCUCCGUUGUCACAUGUCACGUCACUCAGAGGGACAAGGAACUCUGGAGGAACUAAAGGGAAGCAAAGCCAGGUAGUCCUGGGUCACCAACAUGGUGGAUACGCUACUGCUGCUGCUACUUUCACUCUGUGCCAAAGGGAAGAAGCAAGGUCAUGCAGAAAACGCCUACCGUUGAGGAAGUUGCGUUGGCUCUCCAGUAUCUGGCUGAUCUGAAGGGUCCAGACCUCACGCACCCCUGGGUGGGAGGAGUGA
This is a long non-coding RNA of Thunnus maccoyii (southern bluefin tuna), 420 nucleotides long. RefSeq lists it as uncharacterized. The record is from RefSeq and is a predicted model, not a curated record. The transcript is spliced from 4 exons. NCBI's taxonomy places the organism in Eukaryota, Metazoa, Chordata, Actinopteri, Scombriformes, Scombridae.